Mustela erminea (ermine) is the source of this 306-nucleotide long non-coding RNA. RefSeq lists it as uncharacterized. The record is from RefSeq and is a predicted model, not a curated record. Lineage: Eukaryota; Metazoa; Chordata; Mammalia; Carnivora; Mustelidae. The transcript has 3 exons.
AGAAACAGCCAGAAAUGAAUAACCAAAUUAUGAAAACAGCCCUAGUGUCUAUCAACUGAUGAAUGGAUAGAAAAGAUGUGGAAUACAUACAAUGGAAUAUUACUCAGCCAUUAAAAUGGAAUAUUGCCAUUUGUAGCGAUGUGGAUGGAGCAACAGACAUGCUAAGUAAAUCACAAGAGAAGAUAGCUACAAAAACAAGAGUUCUGACAGAGGCUUUGGAUUUACUCCGAAGAACCACUGAGCAGCAAACAAAACCAAGUGCUUCUUUGGAAUGAACUUUCUAAGCAGAUUUUUGAAACUGAGACA